This is a non-coding RNA of Pangasianodon gigas (Mekong giant catfish), 72 nucleotides long. The record is from the annotation of a GenBank genome assembly. Lineage: Eukaryota; Metazoa; Chordata; Actinopteri; Siluriformes; Pangasiidae.
UCCCUACAGGACUAGCGGUUAGGCCUCUGUGCUCUCACCUCUGCAGCCUGGGUUCGAUUCGUGGCCAGGGAA